This 645-nucleotide ribosomal RNA is filed under the name Holtermannia corniformis. RNAcentral's name for it is "LSU rRNA". It matches the Rfam family "Eukaryotic large subunit ribosomal RNA", at positions 24 to 656 of the family's 3401-position model. Lineage: Eukaryota; Fungi; Basidiomycota; Tremellomycetes; Holtermanniales. The record is from RNAcentral.
CCCGCUGAACUUAAGCAUAUCAAUAAGCGGAGGAAAAGAAACUAACAAGGAUUCCCCUAGUAACGGCGAGUGAAGCGGGAAGAGCUCAAAUUUGUAAUCUGGUGGACUCAGUCCAUCCGAGUUGUAAUCUAUAGAAGUGUUUUCCGCGCCGGACCGUGUCUAAGUCCCUUGGAACAGGGUGUCAGAGAGGGUGAGAAUCCCGUGCUUGAUACGACCACCGGUGCUAUGUGAUACACUUUCAACGAGUCGAGUUGUUUGGGAAUGCAGCUCAAAAUGGGUGGUAAAUUCCAUCUAAAGCUAAAUAUUGGCGAGAGACCGAUAGCGAACAAGUACCGUGAGGGAAAGAUGAAAAGCACUUUGGAAAGAGAGUUAAACAGUACGUGAAAUUGUUGAAAGGGAAACGAUUGAAGUCAGUCGUGCGCGCUGGGACUCAGCCGGUUCUGCCGGUGUACUUCCCAGUGUGCGGGUCAACAUCAGUUUAGAUCGCUGGAUAAGGGCAUUAGGAACGUGGCUCCCUCGGGAGUGUUAUAGCCUAGUGCCGCAUACAGUGGUUCAGACUGAGGAACGCAGCUCGCCUUUAUGGCCGGGGUUCGCCCACGUCCGAGCUUAGGAUGUUGACAUAAUGGCUUUAAACGACCCGUCUUG